UAUGAGUUUGAUUCUUGCUUUGAGUGCUUGCUUUUCAGUUAAUAACAUAUGAAAAUUUUUAGUGUUCCAGGGUGAGUAGGGUUAAAAAUCCUGUGCUUGGAUGAGUCUCAGUGUGUAAUAUUUUUUGUAUCAGUGUAAGCUGGAUAAAGUAAACUGAGUUUGUCUCUGGCUAAGUUUUGUGCCAGCAGUCGCGGUUAUACUUGAAGGGAGAGUGAGCAAAGUUUGAUAUUUAACUUUUAUGUUGUUAAUAGUUUUUUUGAUCUUAUAGAGGGUGAAAUCAGUUUUUAAGAGAUGAAUAGAUUAAUAUAAUUUAAUUAAUGAGUUAAUAAGUAAAGGAAAUAAAUUAGGAUUAGAUACCCUAUUAUACCUUUAAUAAAAAGCUAAUAUCUGAUUAUUAACAGUUAUGUUCUUUAAAUUCAAAGAAUUUGGCGGUAUUUUAGUCUGAUUAGGGGAACCUGUCUUUUAAACGAUAAACCACGAAGAAUCUUACCUAUUUUUUUGUAGUUUGUAUACCGUCAUUGAGAUAACUUUUAUAGAAUAAGUUAUUGAAAUAAUUUCGUUAGAAUAUUAGAUCAAGGUGCAGCAUAUAUUUAGGUUAAGAUGGGUUACAAUAAAAUUUAUGUUAGAAUGGAUGUAUUUUGGAAACAAUAUUCUGAAGGAGGACUUAAAAGUAAGGCUAUUUUAAUAAGGUAGCUUGAUUUUAGCUCUAAAAUGUGCACAUAUCGCCCGUCGCUUUCGUUGAGUCAAGAUGAGAUAAGUCGUAACAUAGUAGGUGUACUGGAAAGUGCACCUGGAAAGCG
This 800-nucleotide non-coding RNA is filed under the name Birgus latro. Its description in RNAcentral is "12S ribosomal RNA". The stretch from base 390 to 793 matches the Rfam family "Microsporidia small subunit ribosomal RNA", at positions 752 to 1303 of the family's 1311-position model. The record is from RNAcentral. Lineage: Eukaryota; Metazoa; Arthropoda; Malacostraca; Decapoda; Coenobitidae.